GAUGAACGCUGACAGAAUGCUUAACACAUGCAAGUCUUUGGCGAAGCUGUGCUUGCACAGCCUAGCCAAGGCGGACGGGUGAGUAACGCGUAAGGAACUUGCCCUGCAGUCAGGGAUAACAGACGGAAACGACUGAUAAGACCUGGUAAAGUCAGGCGGACUCAUGUCCAGCCUGAUGAAAAGAGAUGCUGCAGGAGAGCCUUGCGUCCUAUUAGCUUGUUGGUGGGGUAACGGCCCACCAAGGCGAUGAUAGGUAGCCGGCCUGAGAGGGUGGACGGCCACAAGGGGACUGAGAUACGGCCCUUACUCCUACGGGAGGCAGCAGUGGGGAAUAUUGGACAAUGGGGGCAACCCUGAUCCAGCAAUUCUGUGUACACGAUGAAGGUUUUCGGAUUGUAAAGUGCUUUCAGCAGGGAAGAAAAAAAUGACGGUACCUGCAGAAGAAGCGACGGCUAAAUACGUG
RNAcentral lists this ribosomal RNA (463 nucleotides) under uncultured bacterium. Its description in RNAcentral is "partial 16S ribosomal RNA". It matches the Rfam family "Bacterial small subunit ribosomal RNA", at positions 28 to 507 of the family's 1533-position model. The record is from RNAcentral.